UACGUAGGGACCAAGCGUUGUUCGGAUUUACUGGGCGUAAAGGGCUCGUAGGUGGCCAACUAAGUCGGACGUGAAAUCCCUCGGCUUAACCGGGGAACUGCGUCCGAUACUGGUUGGCUUGAGUUUGGGAGAGGGAUGCGGAAUUCCAGGUGUAGCGGUGAAAUGCGUAGAUAUCUGGAGGAACACCGGUGGCGAAGGCGGCAUCCUGGACCAAUACUGACGCUGAGGAGCGAAAGCCAGGGGAGCAAACGGG
RNAcentral lists this ribosomal RNA (253 nucleotides) under uncultured bacterium. Its description in RNAcentral is "partial 16S ribosomal RNA". It matches the Rfam family "Bacterial small subunit ribosomal RNA", at positions 524 to 776 of the family's 1533-position model. The record is from RNAcentral.